RNAcentral lists this long non-coding RNA (276 nucleotides) under Ananas comosus (pineapple). Its description in RNAcentral is "long non-coding RNA (ACOM_LNC000106)". The record is from RNAcentral. Lineage: Eukaryota; Viridiplantae; Streptophyta; Magnoliopsida; Poales; Bromeliaceae.
UUUGUAUUUAGCCCCAUGCACCUAAACAAAAUUAUAAAUGAUUCUACCAAAUUUAUAUUUGCACAUAUAGUCUUUUUUUUGUCACGCAAGCAUUACGUUUGUAUUUUUAUGUUGAACACGAUGAAUGAACCAUCAUAUUUAAACACAGUGAUUGGAUCACCGUGUUUAUAUCCAUGCUAUAAUCUCUCAUUUUUUACUUAAAAACAAAAAAAAUAAAAAAAAAAUAUACAAUAAUCUAAUCAUCCUAUUCAAUUUAAAAAUACCACAUAAGUGCUA